CUCAGGUGUGGUCCAUCCAUCCCCUCAGUGUUUCCCUCGGUCCUGAGGAUGCUCAGGUGUGGCCCAUCCAGCCCCUCAGUGUUUUCCUCGGUCCUGGGGAUGCUCAGGUGUGGUCCAUCCAGCCCCUCAGUGUUUCCCUCGGUCCUGAGGAUGCUCAGGUGUGGCCCAUCCCUCCCCUCAGUGUUUUCCUCGGUCCUGGGGAUGCUCAGAUGUGGCCCAUCCAUCCCCUCAGUGUUUCCCUCGGUCCUGAGGAUGCUCAGGUGUGGCCCAUCCAUCCCCUCAGUGUUUUCCUCUGUCCUGGGGAUGCCCAUCCCCUUAGUGUUUUACCUCCAACUUUCUCUAUUUUUUGUUUCCAGUCUUCCCACACAGGUUGAGAGAGGAGGGGAUCCAAUUGCCUGUGAGGAGGACACGGCUCCUGGGUGGACCCUGCAGAUUGUGAAGUUCAAGUCACAGCUCCUGGGAAGGUCUCUGUGUGUAAAGAUCGUGGGGGUGAGACAGAUUCAGGGACCACACUCUGCUCUGCUCUGUACCUCUGAGUGUCGAUCCAGCUGCCUUGUGACCAGGACACUUAGAAGAAGCAUGGACCCUGCAAGAGGAUGGGCUCAAGGACAGCUUGCCUGACUGCAGCCAUAAGGAUGAAGCCUCUUCAGGUCAUUUGGCCAAUUUAAUGCCGACAGAAGAGGCCACCAUCUGAAUGUAAUUUAUCUCCUCUUUCAUCUCCUUUCAUUCCCCUCCUCCUUUUU
RNAcentral lists this long non-coding RNA (743 nucleotides) under Homo sapiens (human). RNAcentral's name for it is "non-protein coding lnc-FAM153C-5:5". Lineage: Eukaryota; Metazoa; Chordata; Mammalia; Primates; Hominidae. The record is from RNAcentral.